AGUCUUUUAGUUUAUUUUUUUGAAUUUUUUAUUUACGAUAAAUAGGUUUUUGGACUU
Molecule: transfer RNA, 57 nt
Filed under: Dirofilaria repens
Lineage: Eukaryota; Metazoa; Nematoda; Chromadorea; Rhabditida; Onchocercidae
Description: tRNA-Val
Source: RNAcentral